GGCGCACGGGUGAGUAACACGUGGAUAAUUUGCCUUCGGGUGGGGAAUAACAACCGGAAACGGUUGCUAAUACCGCAUAAUGCAGCGGCAUCUAUGAUGACAGUUGUUAAAGCGGGGGAUCGCAAGACCUCGCGCCUGAAGAGAAGUCCGCGGCAGAUUAACUAGUUGGUAGGGUAAUGGCCUACCAAGGCGACGAUCUGUAGCCGGCCUGAGAGGGCGGUCGGCCACACUGACACUGACAUACGGGUCAGACUCCUACGGGAGGCAGCAGUCGGGAAUUUUGGGCAAUGGGCGAAAGCCUGACCCAGCAACGCCGCGUGAAGGAUGAAGUUUCUCGGAAUGUAAACUUCACAAGAAUGGGAAGAAUAAGUUGGGGUUAAUACCCCCGACGAUGACGGUACCAUUUGUAAGCUCCGGCUAACUCCGUGCCAGCCGCCGCGG
This 441-nucleotide ribosomal RNA is filed under the name uncultured bacterium. RNAcentral describes it as "bacterial SSU rRNA". It matches the Rfam family "Bacterial small subunit ribosomal RNA", at positions 97 to 520 of the family's 1533-position model. The record is from RNAcentral.